GACGAACGCUGGCGGCGUGCUUAACACAUGCAAGUCGAGCGGUAAGGCCCUUUCGGGGGUACACGAGCGGCGAACGGGUGAGUAACACGUGGGUGACCUGCCCUCAGCUCUGGGAUAAGCCUGGGAAACCGGGUCUAAUACUGGAUAUGACUCCAUGACGCAUGUUGUGGGGUGAAAGCCUUGUGCGGCUGAGGAUGGGCCCGNGGCCUAUCAGCUUGUUGGUGGGGUGANGGCCUACCAAGGCGACGACGGGUAGCCGGCCUGAGAGGGCGACCGGCCGACACUGGGACUGAGACACGGCCCAGACUCCUACGGGAGGCAGCAGUGGGGAAUCUUGCGCAAUGGGCGAAAGCCUGACGCAGCGACGCCGCGUGAGGGAUGACGGCCU
RNAcentral lists this ribosomal RNA (388 nucleotides) under uncultured bacterium. RNAcentral's name for it is "bacterial SSU rRNA". It matches the Rfam family "Bacterial small subunit ribosomal RNA", at positions 28 to 417 of the family's 1533-position model. The record is from RNAcentral.